Molecule: ribosomal RNA, 466 nt
Filed under: uncultured bacterium
Lineage: Bacteria
Description: partial 16S ribosomal RNA
Rfam family: Bacterial small subunit ribosomal RNA
Source: RNAcentral
GAUGAACGCUGGCGGCGUGCUUAACACAUGCAAGUCGAACGAUGAAGCCCAGCUUGCUGGGUGGAUUAGUGGCGAACGGGUGAGUAACACGUGAGUAACCUGCCCUUAACUCUGGGAUAAGCCUGGGAAACUGGGUCUAAUACCGGAUAGGAGCGUCCACCGCAUGGUGGGUGUUGGAAAGAUUUAUCGGUUUUGGAUGGACUCGCGGCCUAUCAGCUUGUUGGUGAGGUAAUGGCUCCCCAAGGCGACGACGGGUAGCCGGCCUGAGAGGGUGACCGGCCACACUGGGACUGAGACACGGCCCAGACUCCUACGGGAGGCAGCAGUGGGGAAUAUUGCACAAUGGGCGCAAGCCUGAUGCAGCGACGCCGCGUGAGGGAUGACGGCCUUCGGGUUGUAAACCUCUUUCAGUAGGGAAGAAGCGAAAGUGACGGUACCUGCAGAAGAAGCACCGGCUAACUACGUG